UGCAGAUGAAGGCUGGAAGAAGGUGUGUAUGAGCUGAUCCAGUGGAUCCAGUCAAUCCAGCAGCAUGGAUCAGUGUGAGGACACACAGGGGGGAGCCCCUCCCUCUAAAAAAAGGAGGGAUGGAAAACGUAAGGGCCAGAGCAAAGCUCAGAGGAACCAACCUAGACCUGGAUCUGGAUCUGGAUCUGGAUGCAGCUCUGAGUCCUUCAGGAGUGACAACUCAAAGGAUUUACCUCUAAACUUCAAAUACAUCAGUUCAGGAGAGAAAUGCAUUCAACAGAGUUUUGGAACUGGAUCUGUAUCUCAAUCCAGCAGUGUGUCUUUCAAGAGUGACAUGUCGAAGGGUGUUAAUCCUGGUUUCGGUUCAGGAAUGGAAC
Oryzias melastigma (Indian medaka) is the source of this 377-nucleotide long non-coding RNA. RefSeq lists it as uncharacterized. The transcript has 3 exons. The record is from RefSeq and is a predicted model, not a curated record. NCBI's taxonomy places the organism in Eukaryota, Metazoa, Chordata, Actinopteri, Beloniformes, Adrianichthyidae.